UACGAAGGGGGCUAGCGUUGCUCGGAAUCACUGGGCGUAAAGCGCACGUAGGCGGAUUGUUAAGUCAGGGGUGAAAUCCUGGAGCUCAACUCCAGAACUGCCUUUGAUACUGGCGAUCUUGAGUCCGGGAGAGGUGAGUGGAACUGCGAGUGUAGAGGUGAAAUUCGUAGAUAUUCGCAAGAACACCAGUGGCGAAGGCGGCUCACUGGCCCGGUACUGACGCUGAUGCGCGAAAGCGUGGGGAGCAAACGGG
This 253-nucleotide ribosomal RNA is filed under the name uncultured bacterium. RNAcentral describes it as "partial 16S ribosomal RNA". It matches the Rfam family "Bacterial small subunit ribosomal RNA", at positions 524 to 776 of the family's 1533-position model. The record is from RNAcentral.